AUAAGCACAGCAGCCCAAUACCGAUAGCUGCCAAGUGGUCACCUAAGCAUAGAGAUGAUGCCUCUAGCUCUGAGCUUUGGGCGGGGCCAGCUUACUGUAACUCACCCCCGCCGAGCUCUCUGCCGAUCCCCACAUUCUCGCUCCGCCAGAAACGCAGCGUCUCUCUCGACUUGCCCUCUCAGCCGACAAUUGUGCUCCGUCCAGCUGCCAAAUCUGCUCCGUCGUCGCCCACCAAGGUGGCAUCCUCGCCUGAGAGCGACUUCUUUUUUAGCACUGCUUUUGCGACGCAGAACCUGCGGCGCAUCCUAAAUUUAGAUAUCAAUGA
RNAcentral lists this unclassified non-coding RNA (325 nucleotides) under Hevea brasiliensis (rubber tree). The record is from RNAcentral. Lineage: Eukaryota; Viridiplantae; Streptophyta; Magnoliopsida; Malpighiales; Euphorbiaceae.